Stereum hirsutum FP-91666 SS1 is the source of this 95-nucleotide transfer RNA. It matches the Rfam family "tRNA". Rfam says of the family: Transfer RNA (tRNA) molecules are approximately 80 nucleotides in length. Their secondary structure includes four short double-helical elements and three loops (D, anti-codon, and T loops). Further hydrogen bonds mediate the characteristic L-shaped molecular structure. tRNAs have two regions of fundamental functional importance: the anti-codon, which is responsible for specific mRNA codon recognition, and the 3' end, to which the tRNAs corresponding amino acid is attached (by aminoacyl-tRNA synthetases). tRNAs cope with the degeneracy of the genetic code in two manners: having more than one tRNA (with a specific anti-codon) for a particular amino acid; and 'wobble' base-pairing, i.e. permitting non-standard base-pairing at the 3rd anti-codon position. NCBI's taxonomy places the organism in Eukaryota, Fungi, Basidiomycota, Agaricomycetes, Russulales, Stereaceae. The record is from Rfam.
CCUCCGAUAGCUCAAUGGUAGAGCGCGGGUGUACUUUCCUCCCACUUCUCAACAUUGUGAUGCCGGAGACGUUGGUUCGAGUCCAACUCGGAGGA